GAGUGGUGAUCUGUGAAAUCUGCACAUAUGGUAGAAAUUCCAACGCAUACGCAGCAGCUCGGACCUGUAGCAAGCUCUCUCCCUUUAAGGCUAUGACCCCACCCUUCCUCCCCUGAGGAUACAUAAGGAACAGGUGGGGAGAUAGCCCCACUUCCUCCGCCCUGUAGAAGCAGAGUCACUGAGGCAUGACAGUCAGCGGGGAGGACGGGUGGGGAUGUGCAGAUUUUACAGAUCACCACUCGAAGAAACACAGUUACAGUUACACAGAUGGGGAAAGACCUUCCGGCCAAGACCUUUCAUAAACUAGUUCACAAAAAAGCCCAACUUACUUCUCCCGUAAUUGCCGUAGCUCACACUUCAAAUCUUCAUCUUCUAUGUCUGACUCAUUAUCACUGCUCAUGUAGGAGGAGUUGAAUGAGUUACUAAGGCUUUGGACUGGAAGACUGAUUUUUGACCCAGGUGGAUGAACA
This is a long non-coding RNA of Anolis carolinensis (green anole), 470 nucleotides long. RefSeq lists it as uncharacterized. NCBI's taxonomy places the organism in Eukaryota, Metazoa, Chordata, Lepidosauria, Squamata, Anolidae. The record is from RefSeq and is a predicted model, not a curated record. The transcript is spliced from 2 exons.